RNAcentral lists this ribosomal RNA (429 nucleotides) under Chloroflexota bacterium. RNAcentral's name for it is "Chloroflexi bacterium partial 16S ribosomal RNA". It matches the Rfam family "Bacterial small subunit ribosomal RNA", at positions 355 to 776 of the family's 1533-position model. Lineage: Bacteria; Bacillati; Chloroflexota. The record is from RNAcentral.
UGGGGAAUAUUGCACAAUGGGCGCAAGCCUGAUGCAGCCAUGCCGCGUGUAUGAAGAAGGCCUUCGGGUUGUAAAGUACUUUCAGCGGGGAGGAAGGGAGUAAAGUUAAUACCUUUGCUCAUUGACGUUACCCGCAGAAGAAGCACCGGCUAACUCCGUGCCAGCAGCCGCGGUAAUACGGAGGGUGCAAGCGUUAAUCGGAAUUACUGGGCGUAAAGCGCACGCAGGCGGUUUGUUAAGUCAGAUGUGAAAUCCCCGGGCUCAACCUGGGAACUGCAGCUGAUACUGGAAAGCUUGAGUCUCGUAGAGGGGGGUAGAAUUCCAGGUGUAGCGGUGAAAUGCGUAGAGAUCUGGAGGAAUACCGGUGGCGAAGGCGGCCCCCUGGACGAAGACUGACGCUCAGGUGCGAAAGCGUGGGGAGCAAACAGG